AAGAGAGAGUCAAAAGACCGUGAAACCGCUCAGAGUAUAAGCCAAUGGAGCUUGGAAGGCUUCCGCAGGUGGCGUUCAUCAUACGUGGUGUUCUUAAGACCUUGAGUAGGGCUCGUCAGGCGUAGCAUUGAGUUUGCCAGGUUUAGCUGUCGUGCGGGGGCUUAGCGAGGGUGUUGUUUAACGCCCGAGCGGCUCUUUUGAAUGGACGUUCAGAGGCUCUUGGUCUAAUGCGGUAUGCCCACCACAGCACGUUGUGAGGUCACCCACAGGCUCAACUGCCGAUCGCGCAUCCAGGACGAUGGCAACGAUGCGUUGUUGAUGAUGGCUCGAAAGAGACUUGACUCAGACGCGUGUCUAGUCCUGGGUCGGGCGGCGACCGAGAUAUACCUGGUAUGAUCCUCUUGCGACGAGCUGCUUUCUGGCCAGACCGACGUCCGGGCGCAACCACUGUGCCGGAAGCGUCUAUCCCAGGCGGUUGACCCAGCUGCAUUAUGCAAGGUCACCUAGCCGGGCGUUGGUCUGAGUGGUGUCAAGUCCGGCACCAUCGGUCACGUCUCGAAACACGGGCCAAGGAGUAUAGCAUGUGUGCAAGUCUAAGGGUCUCACAAAACCCGAAGGCGAAGUGAAAGCAAGACUGUGGCGGGUGAGCUACGGCAAACCCGCCGGCCUGGUGGCGCGUGCGCCGCCGGCUUAAACAGAGCUGAUCCUGUUUUCUCGGUUAAUUCUUGGUGCAGGCGCAAGCUCCGGGCUCACGUACAACACUGGUUACGCCUCGUGUGUGGCUGUGUUGUGAGCACCGUAGGAGCAUGC
This 810-nucleotide ribosomal RNA is filed under the name Niphargus dancaui. Its description in RNAcentral is "partial large subunit ribosomal RNA". It matches the Rfam family "Eukaryotic large subunit ribosomal RNA", at positions 379 to 805 of the family's 3401-position model. The record is from RNAcentral. Lineage: Eukaryota; Metazoa; Arthropoda; Malacostraca; Amphipoda; Niphargidae.